ACCUAGUUGAGUUUAUAUCUCUCAAAAUCAUGAGAAGCAGCUCAGGCUUCACUGAAUUUAAGAAAAACAGAUAUUAAGCUACCUAGAACACAUGCUACUUUGUAUUUUGGGCAAAGCAGACUUCAACACAUGGCAGACCUUUUAAGCCGUCAACUUUUGUCAUUUCUCAACAGCUGCUGCAAGUGACACCUGUAGAAAGAGCUAGCACAUUAUGAGAUUUUAUUAACACCGCAUUCCAGGAGAACUUUUACAUAUCUGUGUUGUAGACUCUUGCAUGGGGAGAGCAUAAUGGUGAUUAUGGUUCUGGGUGGAUGAAGUGCCAGUAGGCAAAUAAUAUGGCAAUAGCCACGGAAGAGUGCUUCAGUAAAGUAGCUCCCCAAUUGCUUUUCCCCAUUCUGCUGCACAUUAAGUACAUGUUGCCUUCAGGAGCCUUUGCCAAAUAUUCUAAAGCAGCUGUCACAUUUGUGGUCUUUGCAUUGGUAACUCAAUAUUGU
Molecule: non-coding RNA, 494 nt
Organism: Pelobates cultripes (western spadefoot toad)
Lineage: Eukaryota; Metazoa; Chordata; Amphibia; Anura; Pelobatidae
Source: the annotation of a GenBank genome assembly